AUAAGUUGACAUUCUUGGUCAGAUUAAGCUGACAUUCUUGGUCAGAUAAGUUAACAUUCUUGGUCAGAUAAGUUGACAUUCUGGAAGCAAUACAUUCAGAUAGAAACAGUGAUAUGAAGACAUUUGACUGGGAUAGACAAUGUUGUACCACCAAAAUGAACAAAGAUUUGGAGCAAUUUAGAAACAAAUAGAAAAACUAAACACUGUCAAGGACACUUGUAUGAUUUCCUGAUGCUUUAUUCUCAUUCUACAGUGUUCAAUAUUGCACACAAAUUAUUAUAUGCUUUUUAAAAUCAAGGUAUUCUGUACAAGCAGAUGAUAAUGCUAAUCCACCUACUAAUGAAAAUGUGUCAUGCUAUAGGAUAUUAAUUCUAAGGUUUAAGAUAUUUACGUUAAUUCUGAGGUUUGAGAUAUUUACAUUAAUUCUGAAGUUUAAGAUAUUUAGUCUUUUGAUCAUUUAAUUGAUCAUCCAUCUAGCUGUAUAAAUUAAAAAAAAAAAUCAAAUAGACCCCUAAUUGCUUUCAUUUUAUGGUGGCACAUAAUAUUAUAACAUUAGUGCCAUAUAUAUAUUAUGAUAUGUAAUAUUUUAUUUAAGCAAUGUCUUAUUUUUGGGUUUCUUUUGUAAUUUGUGAUCUGUUGUUUUAAUUUUUCAACUCUAUUUGGGUUGAUGUAUGCUCAUUUUACUUUUCUGGUCAUUCAAAUGAAUUGAAACCAAAUAGUUCAUGUUUACCUGAAAAUAAAAUGUAUAGUCAAAAGCAUACAUAAGUAAAAAAAAAAAUGUUAGCAAUUUUUAUUCCCUGGUAACUACAGCAGUAUUCACAAAUGAUUUAUUUUCCUUUUAAAAAGGAAUAGUCAUUCAUAACACUGGCAAAUGAUUCCAUAUUUUUUAUAAUCUCUACAUUAAAUUGUACACAAUUGUAUAGUGUAUACACUUCAUACACCUCCAAAGUAAACACAUUUAGAAUGACUUUUUCUUUUUCGCAUGAAAUGUAAGUAGCAUUUCUUGUAAACAGAACUUGAGCUUAAUAGAAGAUCUUUUACUGUAUCAAUUGAACUACAUGAUAGGCUCAUUUAAGACAAUUCAUACAAUUUUCAUGUAUCUUUCUGGAAUGUGAGAAGUCUGCUUCAAGAGAAACAUUGUAACUAGGUGUGAACUAUGAACUGAUAAGAACCCUAAUUUCGAAAGUGGUAGACUACAAUUAAAAUUCACACAUAACUAAGCAACAAUGCUAGUGGAGACAGUGUGUGUGUGUGUGCAUGCAUGUGUGACUUCCUCAUUCCAAAUCAUUGGAGGAAAUCCUUUCCAGUGGUCUUAGAGUUGUAUAUGGCUCCUGGUGAUGACUCUGUGCCUAAAUGGACUAUAUAUUAAGUUCCUUUGGGAUAGAGCUAACUGUUCCCCAUGAAGCAAUGUUUUAAGCCUUUCUGAAAAAUUAAUAAAAGGUCAAGGUUGUUAGUAAUAGGUAGCUAACAUUUUAAAAUAAAAUAGUGAUUGCUGUUUCAUUUCAUUAAAACAAAAACCUCUUGGAACAUUUUAGGUUUGUUUGAUAGGUUUGUUUGGUUUCAAUGUUUGUAUGUGUAAAUAGAGUUAGAUACCAUUAUUUUGUACUGAAACUCAUUACUUUUCUAAUGUUUAAAAUGAAUGCAUGUUUAAUGUCAACACACUGAUUGAUUCAGAACCUGGUUUGUUCUUCCCCUUUGUUCAUUGAUUCAAUCAAAUCACUUGUUAGAACUUUUGUAGUGUUUCUUUUUAUUUGAGCAGUCCUAUGUUUUUGACAUGUUGUUUUGGAAUCUGACCAGUGUCAAACUAAUGUCUCCAAACUUUGUGCUGGACACUCUGCUCAAUAUUUGUUUAUUCACAUUAUCAUUUGUUGUCUACAUUGCUCAGCUUAGUUGUUUUUGGUCAGGUUAGAACUGCUUCACAUAUUGAGCAAUAAAUAUUGAAUGUAUUUGUUAGUUGUACAGGGAACUCAGUUCAAGGUAUACAAAAGUCUUGUUUUAUUUAAUGCUCUUCCAAAACUCAAUGAUGUAUUGAAUAGAUGUAUUGCUAUGUACAGAGAUGUUUGUAUUGCCAUGGCAAUAUUUGUUUCUCUUAGAUUCAGUGGACAUUGAUUUGUGCACAAAAUUAUUUUUUUUUAAUCAAUUUCCUAAAUGUUCACUAACUCCACGUUUUAUUGUUAAUUAGAUAUAUUCGACAAUUUUUAUUUUAUUUUACUAUUUAAUUUAUUAUACCGGUAUAUACAAUGACUUGAAUUUUUAGCUUACAUACUUUUAGCAAUGACCUUCCAUUAAUUAAUAUAUUUAUCACUUUUUAUAAGUCAGUGAUGUAAGACUCACUGCUGUUGUCACCAUAGCAACACUUCAGUUGAUGUGAUUCUGGAAUCCAUCUUUUCAUGGUUAGUUAGCUAGUGUACUCAAAUCUAAUGGUGUGAUAUUGUCUGUCUCAUCUGUUGUCAGUGUUUCAGACAUGCUAUUUAGAUCUAGAUCUCUCUCUGUUCCAUAAUGUUCUCAACACUCGGAAAUAAAACACUACAAAACUUUU
Molecule: non-coding RNA, 2539 nt
Organism: Biomphalaria pfeifferi
Lineage: Eukaryota; Metazoa; Mollusca; Gastropoda; Planorbidae
Source: the annotation of a GenBank genome assembly